RNAcentral lists this ribosomal RNA (465 nucleotides) under uncultured bacterium. RNAcentral's name for it is "partial 16S ribosomal RNA". It matches the Rfam family "Bacterial small subunit ribosomal RNA", at positions 28 to 507 of the family's 1533-position model. The record is from RNAcentral.
GACGAACGCUGGCGGCGUGCUUAACACAUGCAAGUCGAACGGAAAGGCCCUGCUUGCAGGGUACUCGAGUGGCGAACGGGUGAGUAACACGUGGGUGAUCUGCCCUGCACUUCGGGAUAAGCCUGGGAAACUGGGUCUAAUACCGGAUAGGAGCCAUUUUUAGUGUGAUGGUUGGAAAGUUUUUUCGGUGUAGGAUGAGCUCGCGGCCUAUCAGCUUGUUGGUGGGGUAAUGGCCUACCAAGGCGGCGACGGGUAGCCGGCCUGAGAGGGUGGACGGCCACAGUGGGACUGAGAUACGGCCCAGACGCCUACGGGAGGCAGCAGUGGGGAAUAUUGCACAAUGGGCGCAAGCCUGAUGCAGCGACGCCGCGUGGGGGAGGACGGCCUUCGGGUUGUAAACUCCUUUCGCUAGGGACGAAGCUUUUUGUGACGGUACCUAGAUAAGAAGCACCGGCUAACUACGUG